This 520-nucleotide ribosomal RNA is filed under the name uncultured bacterium. RNAcentral's name for it is "bacterial SSU rRNA". It matches the Rfam family "Bacterial small subunit ribosomal RNA", at positions 16 to 518 of the family's 1533-position model. The record is from RNAcentral.
AUUCUGGCUCAGAUUGAACGCUGGCGGCGUGCUUAACACAUGCAAGUCGAACGCGAACGGGGCUUCGGCCCCAAGUAGAGUGGCGCACGGGUGAGUAACGCGUGGACAAUCUGCCCUUAUGACUGGAAUAACAGUUGGAAACGGCUGCUAAUACCGGAUACGCUCAGGAAGAACUUUUUGAGGAAAGGCGGCCUCUGCUUGCGAGCUGUCGCAUAAGGAUGAGUCCGCGUCCCAUUAGCUAGUUGGCGGGGUAACGGCCCACCAAGGCAACGAUGGGUAGCCGAUUUGAGAGGAUGAUCGGCCACACUGGGACUGAAACACGGCCCAGACUCCUACGGGAGGCAGCAGUGGGGAAUAUUGCGCAAUGGGCGAAAGCCUGACGCAGCGACGCCGCGUGAGGGAAUGAAGGUUUUCGGAUCGUAAACCUCUGUCAGAAGGGAAGAAACUGCCGUGCUCUAAUCAUCAUGGCAUUGACGGUACCUUCAAAGGAAGCACCGGCUAACUCCGUGCCAGCCGCGGC